GGCUCCUUGUAAAUUCAAUAAAUAGGGAGUCGGACCUGCCCAGUGAAUUUUUUUAACGGCCGCGGUACUCUGACCGUGCAAAGGUAGCAUAAUCAUUUGCCUUAUAAUUGGAGGCUAGUAUGAAUGGUUUGACAAGAAUAUAGCUGUCUCUUUAUAACUUUAUAGAAUUUUAUUUUAAAGUGAAGAAGCUUUAAUAUAAUUAAAAGACAAGAAGACCCUAUCGAGCUUUAAAAAAAUCUUUAGAAAUUAAUUAAUAAAUGAUCUUAAAAAAUCAGCUAUUGAAUAUUUUGGUUGGGGCGACUAAGGAACAGAAAAAGCUUCCUUAAAUAAUUAAUGACAUUCAUGUAUUGAUCCAAAAUUUUUGAUUAAAGAAUAUAGUUACCGUAGGGAUAACAGCAUUAUCUUUUUUGAGAGUUCUUAUCGAAAAAAAGGUUUGUGACCUCGAUGUUGGACCAGAAUAUCCUAAAGAUGCAGAAGUCUUUAAGGGUUGGUCUGUUCGACCAUUAAAAUUCU
This 513-nucleotide ribosomal RNA is filed under the name Gemmula albina. RNAcentral's name for it is "partial large subunit ribosomal RNA". It matches the Rfam family "Bacterial large subunit ribosomal RNA", at positions 1817 to 2597 of the family's 2925-position model. The record is from RNAcentral. Lineage: Eukaryota; Metazoa; Mollusca; Gastropoda; Neogastropoda; Turridae.